CAUUACCUUCAGUAAGUAUGAAAACAAUACAAAAACAAAGCCCAAACCUGGUCAUUUUAAGCAAUUUAGAAAUCCCACUCAGGACUUGUCAUUACAUUUUCUGCUGUUUAGAUGUUUAUUGCAUUAUUGUAGUGUCAUGUAUGUUACCCUGGUGUUUUUCCUUGUCUCUGCAGUGACACAAGAAUUAGCCAUGUUUUAUGGAGAAGUGAACUCUGAUUCAUCAUGUGACUUUAUAUUUUACCACUUGUGUUCACAUGUUCGCCUGCCCAUUCAACCCUGCCAGGUAAUGGAAAACGAGCUUGGCUUGCUGUCAGUGAAGGAGGCUCGAACCCGAGGCUCAGCUCCGACAGGAAAUCCUGGCUAAUACCUGCAUUUGAUGGCAGCAGUGACUGGCCUGGUCCCCCAUGAGCUGCCCUACUUCCAUGUAAUGUAAACGAUAGUAUAUCAAACUACACAGCCAGAUGCUUGAUGGGUCAGCGUAAAGGAGAACUGGAAGAUGGGGCAGCAUUGCAUUGCUUGGCAAAGCUGAUGUAACACACAGAAAGACAGAAAGACAUCAUAUGCUGAUUGGAGUGUAACAAAGCGUUACUAUACAACUUAUAUAGCUGUAAAUAAAGGCAUGCUCUUCAAUAAAUAAUGACA
Cyprinus carpio (common carp) is the source of this 642-nucleotide long non-coding RNA. Lineage: Eukaryota; Metazoa; Chordata; Actinopteri; Cypriniformes; Cyprinidae. The record is from Ensembl.